CAACCAUCAAGCCCCAGGGCUUGUGUUGGGGACCUGCGGCUGCCGCAGGCCCCGAAAACCAGUGGCGGGCUCGCUGUCACCCCGAGCGUAGUAGUUUACACCUCGCCCAGGGCGUGCCGCGGGUUCCCGGCCGUUAAAACCCCCCAUACCACAA
This 154-nucleotide unclassified non-coding RNA is filed under the name uncultured Staphylotrichum. RNAcentral's name for it is "sequence contains ITS2". Lineage: Eukaryota; Fungi; Ascomycota. The record is from RNAcentral.